UCUGUCACAAACCCUAGGUUUUCGUGCCCAACGUUUAACCAUUCAUUUUAUUUAAAAAAAUUAUGAAAAAAAUUAAAAAGAUAAGUCACGCAUAAAGUAUUAGUCAUGUUUUAUCAUCUAACAACAAUGAAAAUACUAAUUAUAAAAAAAUUUCAUAUAAGACGGACAGUCAAACAUUGGAUACAGAAACCCAGGGUUUGCCUUUUU
Molecule: non-coding RNA, 207 nt
Organism: Oryza meridionalis
Lineage: Eukaryota; Viridiplantae; Streptophyta; Magnoliopsida; Poales; Poaceae
Source: Rfam